This 490-nucleotide ribosomal RNA is filed under the name uncultured Acidobacteriota bacterium. RNAcentral describes it as "bacterial SSU rRNA". It matches the Rfam family "Bacterial small subunit ribosomal RNA", at positions 13 to 519 of the family's 1533-position model. The record is from RNAcentral. Lineage: Bacteria; Pseudomonadati; Acidobacteriota.
UUGAUCCUGGCUCAGAAUCAACGCUGGCGGCGUGCCUAACACAUGCAAGUCGAACGAGAAAGUGGAGCAAUCCAUGAGUAAAGUGGCGACCGGGUGAGUUACACGUGACUAACCUACCUUCAAGUGGGGGAUAACCUCGGGAAACCGGGUCUAAUACCGCAUAACAUCUUUGGGGCGGAAGAACCGGAGAUCAAAGGAGUAAUUCGCUGGAAGAGGGGGUCGCGGCUGAUUAGUUAGUUGGCGGGGUAAUGGCCCACCAAGACAGAGAUCGGUAGCCGGCCUGAGAGGGCGCACGGCCAUACUGGAACUGAAACACGGUCCAGACUCCUACGGGAGGCAGCAGUGGGGAUUUUUGCGCAAUGGGGGAAACCCUGACGCAGCAACGCCGCGUGGAGGAUGUAGCCCCUUGGGACGUAAACUCCUUUCGACCGGGACGAUAAUGACGGUACUGGUGGAAGAAGCCCCGGCUAACUUCGUGCCAGCAGCCGCU